UGGGCUUUGGUGUAACUGGAAACAUGCGGGUCUCUGAAAUCCGUGCUUGGGGUUCGAUUCCCUGCGGCCCAACCA
Molecule: transfer RNA, 75 nt
Filed under: Chlamydiota bacterium
Lineage: Bacteria; Pseudomonadati; Chlamydiota
Description: Chlamydiae bacterium tRNA-Gln
Rfam family: tRNA
About the family: Transfer RNA (tRNA) molecules are approximately 80 nucleotides in length. Their secondary structure includes four short double-helical elements and three loops (D, anti-codon, and T loops). Further hydrogen bonds mediate the characteristic L-shaped molecular structure. tRNAs have two regions of fundamental functional importance: the anti-codon, which is responsible for specific mRNA codon recognition, and the 3' end, to which the tRNAs corresponding amino acid is attached (by aminoacyl-tRNA synthetases). tRNAs cope with the degeneracy of the genetic code in two manners: having more than one tRNA (with a specific anti-codon) for a particular amino acid; and 'wobble' base-pairing, i.e. permitting non-standard base-pairing at the 3rd anti-codon position.
Source: RNAcentral